CCUACGGGAGGCAGCAGUGAGGAAUAUUGGUCAAUGGACGAGAGUCUGAACCAGCCAAGUAGCGUGAAGGAUGACUGCCCUAUGGGUUGUAAACUUCUUUUAUAUGGGAAUAAAAUGUUCCACGUGUGGGAUUUUGUAUGUACCAUAUGAAUAAGGAUCGGCUAACUCCGUGCCAGCAGCCGCGGUAAUACGGAGGAUCCGAGCGUUAUCCGGAUUUAUUGGGUUUAAAGGGAGCGUAGGUGGAUUGUUAAGUCAGUUGUGAAAGUUUGCGGCUCAACCGUAAAAUUGCAGUUGAAACUGGCAGUCUUGAGUACAGUAGAGGUGGGCGGAAUUCGUGGUGUAGCGGUGAAAUGCUUAGAUAUCACGAAGAACUCCGAUUGCGAAGGCAGUUCACUGGACUGCAACUGACACUGAGGCGCGAAAGUGUGGGUAUCAAACAGGAUUAGAUACCCGUGUAGUC
This 460-nucleotide ribosomal RNA is filed under the name uncultured bacterium. Its description in RNAcentral is "partial 16S ribosomal RNA". It matches the Rfam family "Bacterial small subunit ribosomal RNA", at positions 338 to 795 of the family's 1533-position model. The record is from RNAcentral.